RNAcentral lists this transfer RNA (66 nucleotides) under Diversibipalium multilineatum. RNAcentral's name for it is "tRNA-Leu". The record is from RNAcentral. Lineage: Eukaryota; Metazoa; Platyhelminthes; Tricladida; Geoplanidae.
UUUAUGAUGGCAGAAAAAUGUGUUGAAUUUAAGCUUCAAAGAUAGAAAAGUUUUUUCUUUAUAAAA